This is a long non-coding RNA of Myripristis murdjan (pinecone soldierfish), 451 nucleotides long. RefSeq lists it as uncharacterized. NCBI's taxonomy places the organism in Eukaryota, Metazoa, Chordata, Actinopteri, Holocentriformes, Holocentridae. The record is from RefSeq and is a predicted model, not a curated record. The transcript is spliced from 3 exons.
CUUGGAGAAUGAGCAGUUGUGGUUCUGCCUCACUUAUUGCUGUCCUGUGUUUCCAGAAGACUUGACCCCCUCAGAGGUGGAGUUGGAUUUGCGCCCCUGCCUUUUGGGUCCAAAUGUAAACCGCUCACCAUCCAAACUCAGGAAGAAGAAGGCAUCGUCUCCCUUGAUGAACUUCCUGCUCUUCAGUCUGCCGUGGCUGAGGAAGACAUUCGUGCCGGUGCCCGGCCCGCGGUAGUAGCUGCUGCCGUCGGCCUCUGUCACUUGAGAUCCCACUUUGCUGGGGUUGUCCCAGUAGUACUCUUUACCUGGGAGAGAGACAGAUGUUCAGCAGAUCAUCGGCGGCUCCGCUGUUGUACAGGAAGAACUGCAGACACUGGGCUCCAGGUUUGGGGUAAAGGAAGCGGCUCUCCAGAUGUGCACGGUCACCAGCUGUCCCAGACGCUGUGCUGAA